Molecule: long non-coding RNA, 1413 nt
Organism: Marmota monax (woodchuck)
Lineage: Eukaryota; Metazoa; Chordata; Mammalia; Rodentia; Sciuridae
Exons: 2
Source: RefSeq, a predicted model, not a curated record
GUCCCGCCCCACCCGCGAAGCGUUUCACCCAAAGUUGUCUAUUGCCCCGCACACCAGUCAGAACCUGCCAGUGUCCACGACCGAGCAAGAGCGGGAAAGAAAUCCCGGUGGAGGCUCCGCUGGCUUCUCCAGGAAUGACAACGAUGCCUUCCUGGCGGGAGGCUCGGAAGGCUCGGAACCCUCCGUUGCAGUCCUUGGAGGGCCGCGGUGAGCAUCCUUAUCCUUUUGGACAGACCAGGAAGGGCCAGGCCAUCCCCACUUCCAGGCUGGACUCCUCAGAGGUGCAGUUUGACACUCUCUAAAGCGGACUCUAAGUUCCGGAGUCGGCCGAGCCUGGGCAGUACUACACCGCGCGGUACAAGUGCAGCCUGGCACACUCGUUCCACACCCGGCUCCUCGCCAGCAAGCUCAUUCCCAGGUGGUCAGGCUCAUUAUGGAUGAUGAGCUUUCAAAAAGAAAAAAAGAUGGAAAUCACCAACUAUGCUGCCUACUGAAUGAGUAUUUCCUUGUAGCAUGUGCAGAAUCAAGGAAAAUUAGACUUCUGCACUGUAUAAUCUACCAACAGCCUACUUUCCUACUGUUUUAGUCUAGGUUAUUCUUUAAAAAGCAGAGCCUGAAACAAAGGUAAUGACAUUCUGUUUGGGAAUUUGAUCCCAGGGAGCAGGAGUGAAAGAUAAACCAAGAGGGGAAAAAGGGAAAGAUCAAAGCAAAACAAGGUAAUGUUUUCAAGUGGUACACUGCUGUUAAUGCUUAUAUAAUGCCGAACCUUCUCAAGAAUCUGUCUCAAAACUGUCUUUCUGAGAGAUGAAAGGGAUAAGUAAUUUUAUGUCAGCAGCCAUCUCCUUGGUGUUGACAGCUGCAUUAACUCCCUCAUCGGUCUGGGUUGGUACAGGACAUCACACCUUGCUGCAACAGAGAAACUUUGGGACAGGAGGCUUGAUUCUUGGUGCAUGCUUGACAUGUGGCCCUGUCAGCAUGAAGCAGAGUAAAACCUUACAGACUGUUCACCAGAACUUCAGCUAGAAUCAGGUUGAAAAAAAAAUUUUAGAGUAUACAAAAGGUAUUUUUAAGCCUGCAUAAUACACAGUUAGACUGUCUAAACUGGUUUCCUCUCUUCUUUCUAUAACCAUUAUAUGUUAUCCAGAACAAAUUUGAAAGAAGGGUUAAAUAGGAAGGUUAAACAUACUGGGGGUUGUAUGUUUAUACCAGUUUUAACCUCAGGUUUAUAAAAAAGAGAAAGUGACAGUGGAACUUGGAAAACUGAAAAUUAUUGUACUUAAAAAAUUUGACCAUUGAGAUAUUAGAUACUGUCUAAAUUUUGAGAUACUAGAUACUGUCUAAACUUCUGUCAUAUCAGAAAUAGUCAUGAAUUGUUUAGAGAAAUAUGAAGAAUAAAAUUAACCAUUUCUUGUA